Molecule: long non-coding RNA, 690 nt
Filed under: Pongo abelii (Sumatran orangutan)
Lineage: Eukaryota; Metazoa; Chordata; Mammalia; Primates; Hominidae
Description: lincRNA
Source: RNAcentral
GGCGAAGGUCUGCAGCUUCACUCCUGAAGCCAGACAGACCACAAACCCACCGGGAGGAACCGACAACUUCGGACGCGCGGCCUUAAGAGCUGUAACACUCACCGCGAAGGUCUGCAGCUUUACUCUUAAAGCCAGCAAGACCACGAACCCACCAGGAAGAACGAAUGACUCCAGACGCGCUGUCUCAGGAGCUGUAACACUCACCGCGAAGGUCCGCAGCUUCACUCCUGAGCCGGCAAGACCACGAACCCCACCAGAAGAAAGAAACUCCAGACACGCCGCCUUUAAGAACUGUAAACACUCACCGCGAGGGUCCACGGCUUCAUUCUUGAAGUCAGUGAAACCAAGAACCCACCAAUUCCGGACACAGCAGGAUCUCACCCCCAGAACCCCCAGGUGCACAGCUGCGUAUCCUCAGGGGAAAACUCCCCUCCCCUGCCACCUUACUGAUAGUCUUCACUUCCCCGAGACAGAACUUUCCUAAUCCUGUGCAAUGCCUGAGUGGUACAUUGUAUUCUAUGAGAAUAGCGCCCCUGCCUCCAGAGUUGUGCAACAAGACCUCCAUGAAUCAAAGCCCAUCGCUGGCUGCCUCCUCUAGCCCUCCAUAGCCCAGGAGCUAAAACCUCAGCCCAGAUCAGCGGGCUGAGGGGUCAGGAGGCUGUCACUGGAGCUAUUGAGCUCAUGAACACG